Chrysemys picta bellii (western painted turtle) is the source of this 3184-nucleotide long non-coding RNA. RefSeq lists it as uncharacterized. NCBI's taxonomy places the organism in Eukaryota, Metazoa, Chordata, Testudines, Emydidae. The record is from RefSeq and is a predicted model, not a curated record.
AGGAGGGAGUGUUGCCCAGAUCCAAGGAGAAUCUAAUGCCCUUUUUAUAGCAAAGGCAAUAUUAAUAUCGUAUACGAAUGUGAAUGUUCAGGAUGGGAAUCUCUGCAGACAGCAGCCCAACAGGCGCCGUAAUAACCUACGUCUCGUUUCCAUAGAGACUUGGACCGUUUUUGCCAGCAGCAAAAUCAUGAUUGACACCGAACACCUUCUGAGAGGUAGAACCCCGGUGUCAUAGAAACGGGCUAUGAAUGUGCAGUAAAGCUUCUCGCCGCAGGGUGUUGUUUUUGUUUCCCUAAGUCAAUUGCAUGCCAGCGAAAGACGUGCUGGAUCGACAGCUCUGGAGACGGAGGGCCCGUCUUUAUUCCACCAAACAGUUAAUACAUCUUCAAUUAGUUUAUUGUAAGAUUGGCUACAAGCGUUGUCCUUGGUGAGAGAUCCGAGAUACAAUUGACCUGGGGUGGUGCUAGAAAGCAGGGACAUCACGCCUGCCUGAGAUCUGCAGCUGAACUGAGUUUUCUAUCAGAAAAAGGAUCCCAGAAAAUUGGGAGUGGACCACAUCCACCCUGACUGAAUUGGCCUUGUCAACAUUGGUUCUCCACUUGUAAGAAAGAUCUUUCGCCACCAGCUGGUAAUGAAGCUAACAUCCCCACCGGUCUUGAGGCUGUUGGAUUGCUGCUUGAUUUUCAACGGCGCUUGCCCAGUGCACAGAGGGAGAAUAGGUGACCGAUGGUACCGUACCACCAACACAAAGAAGAGGAGCUGGAUGGAGGCUGGAAGUUCCAUUUCGUGAUGGGUUUCGAGAUUUUGAAAUUUGGUUUCGUUGCAGUUCAGAGCGAAAAGUGAAAAUUUCAAAAUUCUCUGUCAAGAGAAAUUUAACCCACUUCCACCACCACACCUUCUUUUCAGGUUGAUCAAAUGGUUCAUUUCAAUUUUGACUUUUUUAAAAUGUGGGAAUACACCGUAGAAUACAAAAUAAAAAAAAAGAAUCAAAAAGUUGUUUCUAAGUGAAAAAUCAAAAGGAGACAGCUCAGCCUUGUCAGGACGUUUGUCUCCCCCUCCUCCUCCCCUGCCAGUGCUGGCUAGGCCGCUGCAUUAGACCCAUCAGAGCUAGCGCCAGAGCAGUCUACGUUCAGCAGAUGGCCCUUGUGGUAGGCAGAGGUAGCUCCUUUGGAGUCUGAUGCAAUUAGUAUCCCCGUCACAGGCCAGUGCUGCCAUCAGCCUCCCCCAGCUAUCGCACCAGGCGCCACCGUUUAAAGUGAUUUGAGGUUCGGGGCUUCGUCGGGGCUCUUUCAAAUGAUUAGGAACCAGAGACUGACCCAGACUUCCCCAAGGGCAGGCCGUUCGGAUCCUGGGUUCCAGCUGGGGCCACAUCUGUUUGGAAGUCCUUCCUCGUAUUCAUCCUAAAUGUUGCUGUGUUCAAUGUCCACCCUGGAGCUCCAGUUCCACCCCGUAACUGCCCAGGAGGACUCAAAACUGGAGCAGAGAGGUGGAUGGCUCAGGCCUGAGCCCCAUUCCGGUCUCCCUGUGCCUGUGGGUGCAUCAGGAAGCACCUGCAUUCUCCCAGCUCUGAGUUCCCACAGAUGGAGGGAAUCCCCAGCUGGCACACAGCCAGCACAGAUGAUUGCUACCAGCCGCCCCUGGGCACUGGGAGGGCAUUGUGAAGGGGAAGUGGGCAUGAGCGCCGGCAAUCCCUUGCAGGCAAACAGCCCCUUGAGAACAGAACUCCUAGGUACCUUCAGGAUUAGGGAGCUGUAAAUGACUCCCAGUUUUAGCUGCCUACAGCACCUGUAGGACAGGGCUAAGGAAUAAGGCCAGAGGCUUUCAAGGAGACCAGACGUCAAACUCCCAACCUUUUCCCCCGUGGUAUUUCCCCUACGUUAGCGACGUUAAUGGAGGAAGAGCCUGGAAUACUGCAGCAGGUGUGCAGCCACAGAAGAAUGAUUAGAGGCCGGCCCUGAAGUCUAAAUGAAUGCUCCUUUAUUAUUUAUCCUCUUAGCUUUCCAGCUGGUGUCCUAUAGGACCCCGGGAUCAAUGAGACAGAGAUAUUAUCGAGGAAGCCAGGGGACCCUGAACCACAUAUGUCUCUCUAAUUGUUCAGCAGGGACUUUUUACCUGAAAGCUUAAAGGACACCAAGGGAGAAAUCUGUUAGCUAAUGGGAAAACUCAGCAUCGGGGGCUGGGCCAGGGCUACGCAUUUAUGUGUAAAUGGGAGGUAUUUAUUCUACCAGCCUGCAGCCUCCUGCCCUGAUGAAGGAUUAUACGUACUUCACCGCAGAACAGCCACUUGCGGCAGAAGUCUGUUUUCAGAACGAUUUUUUUCCCCGUCUGUGGCCUUGUUUGUUUUGUUGGUUAAAUGAGACUGGUAAGGAAUGCUGUGUUGUGCAUACUGGUUAAUUAUUGUAGGGUCCUUCAGGGGGGAGCGCUGCUGGGACCUACUUUUUUGGCCUGACCUGAACUGGACCCAAGCUCACCUGACCAGUUCCAAGCCCGAGAGGCUCCAGUUGUUUCGCCAGCUGACCCAACCCAGACCCAGCGCCUCUACUUGGGUCUGGGUUGGGUUGCAGUAUGUCAGGGUAUGUCUACACUGCAGCUGGGAACAUGCCACCUGGCUAGACAGGCUCAUGCUAGGACACUGAACAUUGGCGCACAGGUAGAGCGCGAGAAAGCCACCUGAGUGCACGCCCGCCCUACCCUGGCUCCAAGCUUGGGUGUCUAGCCUGACCCUCCGUCGGUGGCGCAGUGUUCACGCAGCUAUUUUUCGUGUGUUGGGGAGGCACGAGCUAGUGCACGUCUGUCUACCCGGGCUGGGAGCCUCGUUCACUCGCAAACACUGAGCUGCUCCUGCUGGGUUGUUAUUGUAGGGUCGCUCGUGAGUGUUGCGCUGCUGGAAUUGAGCUUUAUUGGUAUUUCAAAUGUAAUUUUUUUCUUUAAAAAAAAACCAACACUCCAGGGAUCUCUUUGGAAGCAAACCGAAUGGAAGCACUUUGCAAACAGCUAGUUUUAUUUUGGUGCCGUUCCCCCCCCUACACCCUCCACCCCCAACCCUGAUAGCGUUUCGUAAAUACGGUAAAUAGCCACAUAAGAAAAUGCCAAGAGAGACAACACACAUAGCGGAGAGACGGGGAAUGUUUUCCAGGCUCCCUAGUGCUGUGCACCAUAAAACAUGUGAUUCGGUGUCAAUUCU